UUGGAGAGUUUGAUCCUGGCUCAGGACGAACGCUGGCGGCGUGCUUAACACAUGCAAGUCGAACGAUGAACCUCCUUCGGGAGGGGAUUAGUGGCGAACGGGUGAGUAACACGUGGGCAAUCUGCCCUGCACUCUGGGACAAGCCCUGGAAACGGGGUCUAAUACCGGAUACUGAUCAUCUUGGGCAUCCUUGGUGAUCGAAAGCUCCGGCGGUGCAGGAUGAGCCCGCGGCCUAUCAGCUUGUUGGUGAGGUAAUGGCUCACCAAGGCGACGACGGGUAGCCGGCCUGAGAGGGCGACCGGCCACACUGGGACUGAGACACGGCCCAGACUCCUACGGGAGGCAGCAGUGGGGAAUAUUGCACAAUGGGCGAAAGCCUGAUGCAGCGACGCCGCGUGAGGGAUGACGGCCUUCGGGUUGUAAACCUCUUUCAGCARGRAAGAAGCGAAA
RNAcentral lists this ribosomal RNA (450 nucleotides) under Streptomyces caelestis. RNAcentral describes it as "bacterial SSU rRNA". It matches the Rfam family "Bacterial small subunit ribosomal RNA", at positions 1 to 455 of the family's 1533-position model. The record is from RNAcentral. Lineage: Bacteria; Bacillati; Actinomycetota; Actinomycetes; Kitasatosporales; Streptomycetaceae.